This 207-nucleotide ribosomal RNA is filed under the name uncultured bacterium. Its description in RNAcentral is "partial 16S ribosomal RNA". It matches the Rfam family "Bacterial small subunit ribosomal RNA", at positions 568 to 775 of the family's 1533-position model. The record is from RNAcentral.
CGCGCAGGCGGCUGGUCAAGUCCGAUGUGAAAUCUCCCGGCUCAACUGGGAAACUGCAUCGGAAACUGCCGUGCUUGAGGACUGGAGAGGAGACUGGAAUUUACGGUGUAGCGGUGAAAUGCGUAGAUAUCGUAAGGAAGACCAGUGGCGAAGGCGGGUCUCUGGACAGUUCCUGACGCUGAGGACGAAGGCCAGGGGAGCGAAACG